AUAUAUAUAUAUAUAUAUAUAUAUAUACACUAAUUGUUUUAGAUGUCUGCUAAUUGUUUUGAGAAUAUAAAACUUUUAAAGAAUUUUCUCUAUGGCUGAGAAAUUCAUACAUUUCUUCCUACAUUUUGUACAUAUUAAAUAGUCAUAGUUAGUCAAAACUGGUGAAUUUCUUUGAAAUGCAAUUAAAGUUACAAAUUCAAAAUUUUAAUUCAACAUCCUGAGUUGCAAUUCCAUUCAAUUUCACAAUCCAAUUAUCAAAUUCUGAAUUUUGCUCAACUUGCAUCAGGCAUUUUGCAAACAAUGUGGAUUAAAUUCAGAGAAGGGAACAAAUAUGUUGAAUACGCUCCAGAAUACUUUACAAAUCCUUUCUGAUUUAAACAGCGGAGAAUAAUCCAGAUCGGCAGGUCAUUUCAGUACAUCGUCCAGUUCAUGAAUGCGUUGGGGUUGUUGGGAAGGAAGGGUGGGUUAAGAGGAAGCCCGGCUGAGCCUCCGAUCUCUCGUUCUAUCAUCACCACACCUAAACACAGUGACUGACUGCACGGCUAGAGGCUAACGCUAACAGAAAGAGCUAAACUAAAACAGUUCAACCCAUCAACAACAUCGAAUCACAGGCCACUUUGACAACAUCUACUGAACUCACACGACCACGACUCCAACCUACGGACUGUGGAUGAUGUCGGUGAGGUCUGAGAACAACGCGCGAACGAAACAGCGAAGGGUCACAAAACCUGAUAUGUUUACUUCACCUCGUCCAGACGAGAUCAGACUCUCAUUUGUCUCCGUUUCAAAAGAAACACAGUCAAACCGGCUGGACGUCACACUCCAUUCAUCACGUGUGCGGGAACACUAGUUUUAUGUCUUAACUAAUUGGAUAAUAUCAUAAUGCUGAGUCCUUACAAGAUGAAAUUAACCACUUACUGUCAUCACAGAUUACACAAAUAAUUACAGAGUGAUGAGCUCUGUUACUGUCUGAUAUAUGAGCACAAUAUAGAUAUAAAGCAUAACUAGCCUCAUUCCAGAGCUGGGUUUGAGUCUCUGCUCUCAGUCUGUUAUGUAAGUCAAGCUCAAUGGAGCAUCAAACAUUCAGCUUUCCACCCAAAGCCUGUGACUGUCUGACAAACCAUCAUUACUAUCAGUGUUUCAGUAGAAGACAACAGCAGUUAUUAUGCAGUUGCUAGGGUGUUGCUAUACGGUUGCUAGGGUGUUGCUAUGCGGUUGCUAGGGUGUUGCUAUGCGGUUGCUAGGGUACCCAGGCCCGUUUCUAGGGUGUUGCUAUGCGGUUGCUAGGGUACUUAGGGCAGUUUCUAGGAUGUUGCUAUGCAGUUGCUAGGGUACCCAGGUGGUUGCUAGGGUGUUGCUAUGCGUUUGCUAGGGUACCCGGUUUGCAACAGCGCAACCUGAAUAUAAUAACUAACUGAUUAUAAGAACUGUAACAUUUACAAAUCUUGUUAGGAGGACUAUUGUAAAAAUUAUCUUUUGGAGUUAUAUAUAAAACAAAGAUUAUUGGAGUGUUUGAAAA
Cyprinus carpio carpio is the source of this 1519-nucleotide long non-coding RNA. The record is from Ensembl. NCBI's taxonomy places the organism in Eukaryota, Metazoa, Chordata, Actinopteri, Cypriniformes, Cyprinidae.